AUAUAAAUAAGCAAAUAAUGGGUAAAAUGUAUAACUACUUAUAAUGUGAUUCUCUUUCUUUCCUUUUGCCCUUGUUGACCUGAAGUACCCUUCUACUUGAAGGACGGCUGAGGAAAUAGGGAGCCUAUGACAUCCAAAAUAGGAUAUUGCAACAAGCAACUAGCCUUGCAAGGAAUCUUCUGACAUCUUCAACUGCUCUGUGAAAUCUACUGUAAAAUGCUGAGGCAAUCAUUGGAAUACAGGUGGCAUUUAAAGUCUUGAUGUUGGAUGAGACCACCAAAGGAGGGAGUGAAUAUGGAGAAGGGGUCCAAGAAGAAAGCCCUGGGAGACUCUGCUGUAAGCAUUGGGAGAAGAGGAGCUCACCAAGG
Molecule: long non-coding RNA, 368 nt
Filed under: Equus caballus (horse)
Lineage: Eukaryota; Metazoa; Chordata; Mammalia; Perissodactyla; Equidae
Description: lncRNA (ENSECAG00000057989.1)
Source: RNAcentral